This is a long non-coding RNA of Alosa alosa (allis shad), 589 nucleotides long. RefSeq lists it as uncharacterized. NCBI's taxonomy places the organism in Eukaryota, Metazoa, Chordata, Actinopteri, Clupeiformes, Clupeidae. The record is from RefSeq and is a predicted model, not a curated record. The transcript has 4 exons.
GCAUAUAGCAUGUGUAUAUAUUAAAUAGGCCUAUAUCAUGCAUAUCUUUUUUUAAUUCCCUUUAAGGAUCUUUCCUGCAAUUAACCAUUUGCUCCAUUUGUUGCACAUUGAAACGGUGCGGCUGCCCGGAGGAAGUCGGGAGCUGAGAUCUCAAGCUACAGUAACGGUCGUGAUGAAACCACUGUUCUGUGCCUUUAUCAUCCUGCUGGUAUGCUGCAUUGUCAUGAAUGCUGAGGGUGCAGACACUGUAUCCUCUACAACUAAAGGCAAGACUACAGAGAAACCAGCAUCUGGUGCCAGCUCGGAUGGACUAUCUGUAAUACAGUUGCUGAUGGCCUUGAUUCCUGCUCUUCUCUGCCAAGCGUUUUAGCACCCAACACAAAUCAUUCAAGAAAGUAUUCCUGGUGUGAAGUAUUCAGAGGAAUAUAGCCUACAUCUUUGGAUCAUGAAGAAUGUGAAGAGUCUGAGACAGAACCAAGAGAUUGGCAUGUGUUGUAAAAAAAUGGUCACAGCUAGUUAAAAUUGGAUCCAUCAAAUGACCUGAAAUUGUAAAAUCACAACAAAUUAAUAAAACAAUGUUUUAAUGACA